CCUUCCCUCGCCCAGCAGAUCCCCUGAGACCUCCCAGCACCUUCCCCGUGUCUCCUUGCUGCUCCCCGAGCGCCGGCGACACCUCCUUGAUCUGCCUGGUGACCAUGUUCUUCCCCCGUGACCUCACCAUCCACUGGUCCUCGGAGGUGGCCACCAACGCCGUGAUGCUGGGCACCGCGCAGGCCGACAGCCGCCUCUACAUCACCAGCAGCCACGUCCGCGUCACCGGCAACCAGGGAGAACUGUGGUGUCAGGCCCAACAGGGUUCCAGCAACCUCAGCUCCAAGACGUUCUUCAAGGACGUGUGCAAGCCGGUGACGCAAGGGCCGCAGGUCUACCUGGUGGAACCGCGGUGUGGAGAUGAAGACGGUGAGGUGGAAGUGAAGCUCCACUGCGUCUUCUGGAGUUCCAAGUCUGAGGAGAUCAAGGCGUCCUGGUUGCUGAACGGGGUGGAGAUGGGACAGCCACCCACCAAGGGGGCGGACACGGGGAGAAGUUUGUUGAUGAUCAAGCGGGACAGUUGGGACAAGGGGGACAUCUACACCUGCAAGGUGACCACCCAGUCGGUGGGUGGAGGAACUGUGAUGCGCAACACCAGCAAGUGCAUGGCCUGCUCCAGCACCUCGCUCCUACCGCAGCUCUACUCCAUCCAACCCUCCUACUCCGACCUUCUGGCCGGCCCCUCCAUGGCCUCCUGCCUUCUCCUGGGUCAACACCUUGAAGGUGCCACCAUCUCCUGGAGCAGACCGCAUGCGGGCGGGGCGGGUACCCUCACCCACCACCCCAACGGCACCCAGAGUCUUCUCCUCACCCGCCCCGUCACCCUGGACCAGUGGGGGACCGGUCUCAGGUUGGGCUGUGAAGCCACCGUCCCCUGCCACCCCAGCAUCUCCCUGGAGUUCCUGCUGGGUCCCACCUCCAGUCCCAGGAAGACACCGAAGGUGAAGGUCACCCGCGUCCCCCCCGGCGUCACCACCCCGGCUCUCCUCCUCUGUGACGUCACCGACUUCGCCCCUCGUGACAUCAGCAUCCAUUGGACGGGUAAACGUGACCUCCAUGCCCGUACCCAAACGAGUCCCGUCACCGGGCAGGAGGUCUUCUCCACCCUCAGCAUCCUCCGGUUGGAGAAGGACGAGGAAGGGAAGGACUACGCCUGCGUGGUGCAACAUCCCACCCUGGACCAACCCUUGCACGCCACCGAAGAGGACGGUCUCCCCAAACCGUCCCCCACCACACCCGUGCCACAGGAGAAGACCUCAUCCCACCGCGGUUGCCCCACAUCUCCGCCCGCUUCCCUUCGACCUCCCUCGUUCCACGAGCUCUUCCGACACCGAGCGGCCAACUUGACCUGCGUCACCCCGUUGGCCAACGCCACCGUGGAUUGGACGGCGGACGGGCGGCGGGCGGGGCCCGAGGAGGCGGAGACGCGUCGCGACGCCGCGACGGGGACGCAGAGUCGGUUGCGGGUCGGUUUGAGGGAUUGGAAGGCGACGGGCAACUUCUCCUGCCGGGUGCGGGACGGCGAGCGGGAGACGCGGCUGGAGAUCAGCCGGACGACGGGUCCCCUGAAGCCCCCGAGCCUCCAGGUCCUGCCGGCGUCCCCCGCCGAAGCUUGCGCCGGCCACAACUUCACCUUCUUCUGCCUCGUGAAGGACUUCUACCCGCCGGAGAUCGCGGCGUGGCGGCGGCGCGGCGCUAACGAAGCACCGGCUGACGAGGGGCCGAGUUGCGACCACGAAAGGCGUCGGUGCUCUUUGGUCGUCGCCGUGGACGUGGCGUGGGGCGAGUGGGCCGGCGGGACGUCCUACGGUUGUUCGGUCGCCCACGUCUCCAGCGACGAGGUCUUGGAGAUGAACGUCCAUGCCGACGGCGAUCCCUGGGAUUGCGCCGGGUCGCGCUUCGUGCCUUGCGGUUUAUUGGGCGACGGCGAUGACCUCGAGCCGGAGGAGGAGGGCAGCGCCUUGACCACCGUCUCCACCUUCGUGGUGCUCUUCCUCCUCCUCAUCUUCUACAGCGGCUUCGUCACCUUCCUCAAGGUGAAAUAACGACCCCACCCCACCCCCCGGCACCAUCAUCGUCCCCCACGACCUCGGUGGAAGAAACGCCGGAGAAGCACAAAAACGGGGGAAAAAAUCCCCAAAAAGGCCAAUUUUAUUCACAAUUUCCUCAUCUACGCAUGGCGGCGGGGGGAUAUUUCCAAUAA
Grus americana (Whooping crane) is the source of this 2203-nucleotide non-coding RNA. NCBI's taxonomy places the organism in Eukaryota, Metazoa, Chordata, Aves, Gruiformes, Gruidae. The record is from the annotation of a RefSeq genome assembly.